Molecule: ribosomal RNA, 254 nt
Filed under: uncultured prokaryote
Description: partial 16S ribosomal RNA
Rfam family: Bacterial small subunit ribosomal RNA
Source: RNAcentral
UACGUAGGUGGCAAGCGUUGUCCGGAAUUAUUGGGCGUAAAGCGCGCGCAGGCGGUCCUUUAAGUCUGAUGUGAAAUCUUGCGGCUCAACCGCAAGCGGCCAUUGGAAACUGGGGAACUUGAGUGCAGAAGAGGAGAGUGGAAUUCCAUGUGUAGCGGUGAAAUGCGUAGAUAUAUGGAGGAACACCAGUGGCGAAGGCGACUCUCUGGUCUGUAACUGACGCUGAGGCUCGAAAGCGUGGGGAGCAAACAGGA